UUUCCGUAGGGGUACCUGCGGAGGGAUCAUUACACAAAUAUGAAGGCGGGCUGGAACCUCUCGGGGUUACAGCCUUGCUGAAUUAUUCACCCUUGUCUUUUGCGUACUUCUUGUUUCCUUGGUGGGUUCGCCCACCACUAGGACAAACAUAAACCUUUUGUAAUUGCAAUCAGCGUCAGUAACAAAUUAAUAAUUACAACUUUCAACAACGGAUCUCUUGGUUCUGGCAUCGAUGAAGAACGCAGCGAAAUGCGAUAAGUAGUGUGAAUUGCAGAAUUCAGUGAAUCAUCGAAUCUUUGAACGCACAUUGCGCCCUUUGGUAUUCCAAAGGGCAUGCCUGUUCGAGCGUCAUUUGUACCCUCAAGCUUUGCUUGGUGUUGGGCGUCUUGUCUCUAGCUUUGCUGGAGACUCGCCUUAAAGUAAUUGGCAGCCGGCCUACUGGUUUCGGAGCGCAGCACAAGUCGCACUCUCUAUCAGCAAAGGUCUAGCAUCCAUUAAGCCUUUUUUUCAACUUUGACCUCGGAUCAGGUA
Molecule: ribosomal RNA, 531 nt
Filed under: Alternaria alternata
Lineage: Eukaryota; Fungi; Ascomycota; Dothideomycetes; Pleosporales; Pleosporaceae
Description: eukaryotic LSU rRNA
Rfam family: 5.8S ribosomal RNA (bases 198-351)
Source: RNAcentral